Molecule: non-coding RNA, 90 nt
Organism: Xylaria arbuscula
Lineage: Eukaryota; Fungi; Ascomycota; Sordariomycetes; Xylariales; Xylariaceae
Source: the annotation of a GenBank genome assembly
GGUGUUAUAGUAUAGUGGUUAGUACGGUUCGUUGUGGUUGAGCGCAUCAUCAGCUCCGAACAGACCCAGGUUCGAUUCCUGGUAACGCCA